UCGAUCAUAGGACCGCUGCUAUUCAGUAUAUAUCAAUGACAUCUGUUUGCAGUGAUGUUGACAUACUAAUGCUGAUGACGCUGUUUUAUAUACUCAUGGGGAAAAUGCAACGAAGGUCUCUGUUAAACUAACAAAGGAAUUGCAUAAGAUUGCUGAUUGGCUGCACUAUUCCUGUCUUAGGCUACAUUCAGGGAUUCUUCAUGAGGAGGGAAUGAAAUGUAUGUCCAAAACAUGAGUAAGCAGGAAAUCAGAACAGGCCCCAAGAUGUGGCACAGAUGUCACAGUCCAUUUUCUAUAUGCCCCCAGGUACCAACACACUGUGGACCAUCCUUCCAGCUCUGGUAAAGUGGAGACAUUCUCCUUUGGUACAAGCUUUUAAGCCCGUACCAUCACACUGGUGUUACGGAAAUGUUGGAAAUUGAACGUUCUAAAGAAUAUCUGGGUUCAUUCAGAGCCCUAGAGAGUAGAGAGAGAACUUCCCGACCUCAAAUGUUGUGGGCGGGACUAAGUUCGACUGGCACCCAGGCUAGGAAGGGAGAGGAAUUGCA
Long non-coding RNA from Alosa sapidissima (American shad), 548 nucleotides. RefSeq lists it as uncharacterized. Lineage: Eukaryota; Metazoa; Chordata; Actinopteri; Clupeiformes; Clupeidae. The transcript has 3 exons. The record is from RefSeq and is a predicted model, not a curated record.